This 280-nucleotide long non-coding RNA is filed under the name Drosophila guanche. Lineage: Eukaryota; Metazoa; Arthropoda; Insecta; Diptera; Drosophilidae. The record is from RNAcentral.
AAAAAGUGUUUCUGUACUGAUUCAAUACGGUCUUGAUGUAUGUUGUACUGAGGGCACCAUACACAUGAGCCGUAUUCUAAAAUCGGACGAACAAGCGAGAUAUAUAGAGUCUUCGUUAUGUAGGGGUCAUCAAAUUCCUUUGACCACCUCUUUAUAAACCCAAGCACACCCAUGGCUUUAUUUACCGCGGUAAAAAUGUGUUCAGAAAACUUUAACUUGGGUUCUAGUUUAACACCUAGAUCAUCAACCAAUGUAAUUCUCUCAAGAGAACUACCGCAGA